CCUACGUGGGGCAGCAGUGGGGAAUAUUGCACAAUGGGGGAAACCCUGAUGCAGCGACGCCGCGUGAGCGAUGAAGUAUUUCGGUAUGUAAAGCGCUAUCAGCAGGGAAGAAAAUGACGGUACCUGACUAAGAAGCCCCGGCUAACGACGUGCCAGCAGCCGAGGUAAUACGUAGGGGGCAAGCGUUAUCCGGAUGUACUGGGUGUAAAGGGUGCGUAGGCGGCUGGGCGAGCCAGUUGUGAAAGCCCGGGGCUCAACCCCGGGACUGCAUUGGGAACUGUGUGGCUGGAGUGUCGGAGAGGCAGGCGGAAUUCCUAGUGUAGCGGUGAAAUGCGUAGAUAUUAGGAGGAACACCAGUGGCGAAGGCGGCCUGCUGGACGAUGACUGACGUUGAGGCUCGAAAGCGUGGGGAGCAAACAGGAUUAGAUACCCUAGUAGUC
RNAcentral lists this ribosomal RNA (440 nucleotides) under uncultured bacterium. Its description in RNAcentral is "partial 16S ribosomal RNA". It matches the Rfam family "Bacterial small subunit ribosomal RNA", at positions 338 to 795 of the family's 1533-position model. The record is from RNAcentral.